Sinocyclocheilus anshuiensis is the source of this 392-nucleotide long non-coding RNA. Lineage: Eukaryota; Metazoa; Chordata; Actinopteri; Cypriniformes; Cyprinidae. The record is from Ensembl.
UGCAGGUGUGUUUGGAGGAGAUGCCACAUCAUAUCAAGAGGUUUAAUAUGUUUCAAAACACAAAUGAGUUUGGAGAGGCUCUGGUGCCAGCAGACAAGAUGGAAGAGAUGAAGAGAAGGUUCACCAGUGUCCGUGUAACAGCUAAAUAUCAUGGUAUUAAGCUGGAGUACCGUGAGCGCAGACACACAGUGUUAGACCUGCUGAAUCAACUCAACAUUAAACUGCGAUCUUGGAAAAGAGCCUACAUUUCCCAGGAGGCUGUUCGUGUGCUAAUGCAGGACUGGAAUGAGACUGUGAACAAACAGGAACUGGCUUCUUUGCUGGAUGGAGCCCUCCAUAGACUCAAACUAAUCGCGAACAAAUACACCAGCAAGGCUGCCUUGGGUAAUACA